Molecule: long non-coding RNA, 468 nt
Filed under: Oryza sativa Indica Group (long-grained rice)
Lineage: Eukaryota; Viridiplantae; Streptophyta; Magnoliopsida; Poales; Poaceae
Description: lncRNA OsLiXu_02g0033290
Source: RNAcentral
GUUUGCACUACACUCUACACGUCUACACGUGACGAGGCCAAUGGCUAUCUGAAUUUUACCGGAAGAGAGCAAAGCAAGAGAAGAGAGGGCACCACCAGAAGGGGGGAAAACCGCCACCUCUACGCGUCGCCGGAGAGCGCGCCGGUGGCAUGCCGGAGCGCCGCCUACCAAUAUCCACUCCGGCGGCGGCCGGACCCCGCCGUCACCCCCGACGGCAGCGGCGUCACUGCCGCCUACUCGUCCUCCCGGCCUUCGCCCUCGCGCUUGUCUCCCUCGCCUACCUCUCCUUCUCUUCCCACCCCAAUCUCCCCUUCCAUGGUAAGCUGCGCAAAUCACCCUGCUAGAGAUCCUUUGAUGCUAUGCUCUACAGCAAAACAUCAUGAUAUGGCUAGUAUAAAGGAUGUUAAGGAGAGAAUGGAUCAAAGACAAACUCUCGAUGCUAAGGUUAAGGCAAAUUUGUCUAUGUGA